CCCAGACUCCUACGGGAGGCAGCAGUGGGGGAUAUUGUACAAUGGGGGGAACCCUGAUGCAGCGACGCCGCGUGGGUGAAGGAGUGCUUCGGCAUGUAAAGCCCUAUCGGCAGGGAAGAAGCAAGACGGUACCUGACUAAGAAGCCCCGGCUAACUACGUGCCAGCAGCCGCGGUAAUACGUAGGUGGCAAGCGUUGUCCGGAUUUACUGGGUGUAAAGGGCGUGCAGCCGGGCUGACAAGUCAGAUGUGAAAUCCCGCGGCUCAACCGCGGAACUGCAUUUGAAACUGUCAGUCUUGAGUACCGGAGAGGUCAUCGGAAUUCCUUGUGUAGCGGUGAAAUGCGUAGAUAUCAGGAGGAACACCGGCGGCGAAGGCGGCCUGCUGGACCGUGACUGACGUUGAGGCUCGAGAGCGUGGGGAGCAAACAGGAUUAGAUACCCCAGUAC
Molecule: ribosomal RNA, 447 nt
Filed under: uncultured bacterium
Lineage: Bacteria
Description: bacterial SSU rRNA
Rfam family: Bacterial small subunit ribosomal RNA
Source: RNAcentral